Molecule: ribosomal RNA, 690 nt
Filed under: Neisseria sp. V17 2012305
Lineage: Bacteria; Pseudomonadati; Pseudomonadota; Betaproteobacteria; Neisseriales; Neisseriaceae
Description: bacterial SSU rRNA
Rfam family: Bacterial small subunit ribosomal RNA
Source: RNAcentral
GCAUGCUUUACACAUGCAAGUCGGACGGCAGCACAAAGAAGCUUGCUUCUUGGGUGGCGAGUGGCGAACGGGUGAGUAACGCAUCGGAACGUACCGAGUAGUGGGGGAUAACUGUCCGAAAGGAUGGCUAAUACCGCAUACGCUUUGAGAAGGAAAGCGGGGGAUCUUCGGACCUCGCGCUAUUCGAGCGGCCGAUGUCUGAUUAGCUGGUUGGUGGGGUAAAGGCCUACCAAGGCGACGAUCAGUAGCGGGUCUGAGAGGAUGAUCCGCCACACUGGGACUGAGACACGGCCCAGACUCCUACGGGAGGCAGCAGUGGGGAAUUUUGGACAAUGGGCGCAAGCCUGAUCCAGCCAUGCCGCGUGUCUGAAGAAGGCCUUCGGGUUGUAAAGGACUUUUGUCAGGGAAGAAAAGCUUGAGGCUAAUACCCUUGAGUGAUGACGGUACCUGAAGAAUAAGCACCGGCUAACUACGUGCCAGCAGCCGCGGUAAUACGUAGGGUGCGAGCGUUAAUCGGAAUUACUGGGCGUAAAGCGGGCGCAGACGGUUACUUAAGUCAGAUGUGAAAUCCCCGGGCUCAACCUGGGAACUGCGUUUGAAACUGGGUAGCUAGAGUAUGUCAGAGGGGGGUAGAAUUCCACGUGUAGCAGUGAAAUGCGUAGAGAUGUGGAGGAAUACCGAUGGCGAAGG